Nicotiana attenuata is the source of this 434-nucleotide long non-coding RNA. RefSeq lists it as uncharacterized. Lineage: Eukaryota; Viridiplantae; Streptophyta; Magnoliopsida; Solanales; Solanaceae. The transcript is spliced from 2 exons. The record is from RefSeq and is a predicted model, not a curated record.
CAAUUGGCAGGCAUGUGUUAGACCGGGUUCCAUCGGGGCGUAAGGAUGGCGGAAGAAUGUAACGUUUGGGAACAUUGGUUAGACCCUCUUCGGCCGAGAAAUCUCAGAUGACGGUAAUUGUUGGUUUCACAAGUUGAUCCAGAAUGUGGGGAAAAGAAAUCCAGAAUGUAAUUGAAUACAGAGAUUGUGUUAGAUUCAGGUGUCUGUAGCCCACGCGCCAUGAGGGAGAAUAGUUAUCCAAAUAUUUAAACGUGGGGUACGUAAGGUUGCCAUUUGCUUUUGUUGAGGAUGUAAGCGGUAAGCGCUCUCUGGAGUUUCAACUCCUUCAAUUCGUUGCAUUGCGAGUAAGGUUGUUCAUGUUUAGAUUUGCUUCGCUAUGUUAGUUUACUAAAUUUAUAAAUCAAAUUAACCAAAUAUAGAAAUUCGUUUCCUUU